This 253-nucleotide ribosomal RNA is filed under the name uncultured bacterium. Its description in RNAcentral is "partial 16S ribosomal RNA". It matches the Rfam family "Bacterial small subunit ribosomal RNA", at positions 524 to 776 of the family's 1533-position model. The record is from RNAcentral.
UACGGGGGGGGCAAGCGUUGUUCGGAAUUACUGGGCGUAAAGGGCUCGUAGGCGGCCAACUAAGUCAGACGUGAAAUCCCUCGGCUUAACCGGGGAACUGCGUCUGAUACUGGAUGGCUUGAGAUUGGGAGAGGGAUGCGGAAUUCCAGGUGUAGCGGUGAAAUGCGUAGAUAUCCGGAGGAACACCGGUGGCGAAGGCGGCUUCCCGGACCGACACUGACGCUGAGGCGCGAAAGCUAGGGGAGCAAACGGG